This 423-nucleotide ribosomal RNA is filed under the name uncultured bacterium. RNAcentral's name for it is "partial 16S ribosomal RNA". It matches the Rfam family "Bacterial small subunit ribosomal RNA", at positions 360 to 775 of the family's 1533-position model. The record is from RNAcentral.
AAUUUUGGACAAUGGGGGAAACCCUGAUCCAGCCAUGCCGCGAGUAUGAAGAAGGACUUCGGGUUGUAAAGUACUUCUGGCAGAGAAGUAAAGGCAUCUCCUAAUACGAGAUACUGCUGACGGUAGCUGAAGAAUAAGCAUCGGCUAACUACGUGCCAGCAGCCGCGGUAAUACGUAGGGUGCAAGCGUUAAUCGGAAUUACUGGGCGUAAAGCGUGUGUAGGCGGUUCGGAAAGAAAGAUGUGAAAUCCCAGGGCUCAACCUUGGAACUGCAUUUUUAACUGCCGAGCUAGAGUAUGUCAGAGGGGGGUAGAAUUCCACGUGUAGCAGUGAAAUGCGUAGAUAUGUGGAGGAAUACCGAUGGCGAAGGCAGCCCCCUGGGAUAAUACUGACGCUCAGACACGAAAGCGUGGGGAGCAAACAG